RNAcentral lists this unclassified non-coding RNA (406 nucleotides) under Hevea brasiliensis (rubber tree). Lineage: Eukaryota; Viridiplantae; Streptophyta; Magnoliopsida; Malpighiales; Euphorbiaceae. The record is from RNAcentral.
AGAUGAAAGCAUCUUUCUCCAUGGACCAGUUUUAGUAGUAGUUUGGGACUGUUUCUCAGCCUCUUCAAACUUUUCAAAAUUUUGAGUAUCCAGCUCAUCCUUGACCUCAGGGAUAAAUGCAGCCUCCAUCAGAUAAAGCUUAUCCCAUUCAAUACCAUUAAAAAAUGGAUGAGCCUUUAUUUCAUCUGCGCCUUUUGAUCCCAAUCUCUGGUUGACAUUACACAAGAGUUUACUAAUAAGAUCCUUAGCCUCUGGAGAUAGUCUUGCUUCUUCUGGAAAUUUCAAAUGAGUCUUCCAAUUUACUAUCUUCCUACAGGUUGACAUAGGAUCAUCUGAAUAAAAAGGUGGGUAUCCCACAAGCAUUUCAUACAUAAUAGCACCAAGUGACCACCAAUCACAUUCCAUC